UACGUAGGGUGCGAGCGUUACUCGGAAUUACUGGGCGUAAAGCGUGCGCAGGCGGCGCGUUAAGACAGGUGUGAAAGCCCCGAGCUUAACUUGGGAAUUGCGCUUGUGACUGGCGUGCUGGAGUGUGGCAGAGGGAGGUGGAAUUCCACGUGUAGCAGUGAAAUGCGUAGAGAUGUGGAGGAACACCGAUGGCGAAGGCAGCCCCCUGGGCUAACACUGACGCUCAGGCACGAAAGCGUGGGGAGCAAACAGG
RNAcentral lists this ribosomal RNA (253 nucleotides) under uncultured bacterium. RNAcentral describes it as "partial 16S ribosomal RNA". It matches the Rfam family "Bacterial small subunit ribosomal RNA", at positions 524 to 776 of the family's 1533-position model. The record is from RNAcentral.